Molecule: ribosomal RNA, 233 nt
Filed under: uncultured bacterium
Lineage: Bacteria
Description: partial 16S ribosomal RNA
Rfam family: Bacterial small subunit ribosomal RNA
Source: RNAcentral
GACCUACGGGGGGCAGCAGUGAGGGAUAUUGGUCAAUGGGGGAAACCCUGAACCAGCAACGCCGCGUGAGGGAAGACGGUUUUCGGAUUGUAAACCUCUGUCCUCUGUGAAGAUGACGACGGUAGCAGAGGAGGAAGCUCCGGCUAACUACGUGCCAGCAGCCGCGGUAAUACGUAGGGAGCAAGCGUUGUCCGGAUUUACUGGGUGUAAAGCGAGUGCAGGCGGGUCAAUAA